This 462-nucleotide ribosomal RNA is filed under the name uncultured bacterium. Its description in RNAcentral is "partial 16S ribosomal RNA". It matches the Rfam family "Bacterial small subunit ribosomal RNA", at positions 28 to 507 of the family's 1533-position model. The record is from RNAcentral.
GACGAACGCUGGCGGCGUGCUUAACACAUGCAAGUCGAACGGUGAAGCCCUUCGGGGUGGCUCAGUGGCGAACGGGUGAGUAACACGUGAGCAACCUGCCCCUGGCUCUGGGACAACCACUGGAAACGGUGGCUAAUACCGGAUACGACCCGCCUCGGCAUCGAGUGUGGGUGGAAAGUUUUUCGGCUGGGGAUGGGCUCGCGGCCUAUCAGCUUGUUGGUGAGGUGAAGGCUCACCAAGGCGACGACGGGUAGCCGGCCUGAGAGGGCGACCGGCCACACUGGGACUGAGACACGGCCCAGACUCCUACGGGAGGCAGCAGUGGGGAAUAUUGCACAAUGGGCGAAAGCCUGAUGCAGCGACGCCGCGUGAGGGAUGACGGCCUUCGGGUUGUAAACCUCUUUCAACUCCGAAGAAGCGAAAGUGACGGUAGGAGCAGAAGAAGCACCGGCUAACUACGUG